AGCAGUGUAAUGUAGUGGUAAGGAGCUGGGCUCGUAACUGAGAGGUUGUUGGUUCGAUUCCCUGCUGUGG
Non-coding RNA from Megalops atlanticus (tarpon), 70 nucleotides. Lineage: Eukaryota; Metazoa; Chordata; Actinopteri; Elopiformes; Megalopidae. The record is from the annotation of a GenBank genome assembly.